UAUUUAUUUAAUGAUUGAUUUAAUCAUUUAAUGAUUGAUUCUAAAAUACUUUAUUAUAGUUCAAACUAUAAAGGCAAUAUAAAGUAAACGUUAUAAAUAACCUGAAGAAGAAAAAGCAGGAUAUUUUUGCCAUAGCAUUGACAGAAGUGAAAAUGACACAUUUAACUGUCCGACUACCAGAUUUACUAAUAUGUAAAAAAUCCCAGCAGUGGCGCAGGAUACUUGUUAAUUGUGGGGGGCACAAAUUUAUAUAUGCAUGUCUUAAUCCAUUGAAAACAAUGGAUUUCAAAGGAGCUUAAUGUGGCAGAACAUGAAUAUAUGAAUAUGUGCCUCCUACCCAAAAUAAAGAGUCUGCUAUGCCAUUUAUUCCCAGGGCAUCUUGAAGAGCUCUGGCAUUGUGUGUAACAGUUAGUAUUUCAUUUUGCAAGGAACUUCUUCUUAUUUUUUUUCCAAAACAUUAUUUGAACAUUAGAGAAAUUGUGUACAAACUAUAGAAAGUUUAUAUUAGGAAUAUAUUUCUAGGGCAACACCCUCCUUUAAAGUAUGUAUCCAUGUUCAGGAGUGAAUGACAUGACCAGACAUUUUUGGCUAAUGUCUUUACAACUGAUAAGAACAGUAAAUGAGUCAUUUCUACUGGUGUCUUUACUAUAUGUUUGUAAAUGUAGAUCGUCCAGAGGACAGCUUCCUUGAGGUAGCAUCAGUUCAAAAGCAAAAGGAAAAUGCAAAUGCUAUUGAUAUAAGGAUGACAGCCUUGGAACGAAUGGGCGAAACAUGCAAGAGAAAAUCUGAUGGGCAAAACUCAGAUGUUAAGCUUAAGAAAGUACGCCGCGGAAGUUGUGAAUUAGUCGAAUAUUUGAGAGAAAGAUGAAGCAAGCAAAUUGAAAUCCGUCGUGCAGAACUAGAAGUAAAGCGAAAUGGGCAAGAAAUACAAAAUCAAUUGAGUACCCAAGCAGCUACACAACAAACAGAAGUCUUAAAAAUGAUGCAACAACAAAAUCUAAAAAUGAUGGAGAGCCAAGCUUUACUUCUUCAGCAACAACAGCAAUUGUCAACAGCAUUUCUUGACAUUAUUUAGAGGUUCACAACCAAGUAAGAUUGUGUUGUCACUUACAAGGAAAGAAUUCUUAACUGUUGUGUUUUAGCAAUCUGUGUAACUAUGAACUUUUAAUGUUUUGUUAUUUGAAUUAUAAUAACUUUCUCACUUA
Molecule: long non-coding RNA, 1205 nt
Organism: Xenia sp. Carnegie-2017
Lineage: Eukaryota; Metazoa; Cnidaria; Anthozoa; Malacalcyonacea; Xeniidae
Exons: 2
Source: RefSeq, a predicted model, not a curated record